This 3041-nucleotide ribosomal RNA is filed under the name uncultured delta proteobacterium DeepAnt-1F12. RNAcentral's name for it is "bacterial LSU rRNA". It matches the Rfam family "Bacterial large subunit ribosomal RNA". The record is from RNAcentral. Lineage: Bacteria; Deltaproteobacteria.
AAAUGAGGUCAAGCUACUAAGAGCAUACGGUGAAUGCCUUGGUACCAGGAGGCGAUGAAGGACGUAGGUAGCUGCGAUAAGCUACGGUGAGCCGCUACACAGGCUUCGAUCCGUAGAUUUCCGAAUGGGGAAACCCGCGCCGGUGAAUGCCGGCCACCACACGCUGAAUACAUAGGCGUGUUGGAGCCAACCCAGGGAACUGAAACAUCUAAGUACCUGGAGGAAAAGAAAACAACAGUGAUUCCCCUAGUAGCGGCGAGCGAACGGGGACCAGCCCAAACCUGCAUUGUGUAAGCCUGUGAGCGUUGCAAUGUGGGUGUGUGGGGCCAUCUGGUCGUCAUCACAGUGACGGCAUGGAGUAAGAAAACAAGUCAAGAGCUGAACGGUCUGGAAAGACCGGCCAUAGAGGGUGAUAGCCCCGUAAGUGGUUCUGAUUUGUCUCCAGGAUGGCUACCCGAGUACCGCGGGACACGAGAAACCCUGUGGGAAUGACGGAGGCCCACCUCCGAAGGCUAAAUACUACCUGGUGACCGAUAGUGGACGAGUACCGUGAGGGAAAGGUGAAAAGUACCCCUAGCAGGGGAGUGAAAUAGACCCUGAAACCGUAUGUUUACAAGCAGUCGGAGCCCUAUGGCUUAUUCUUCGGAAUAGACCAGGGCGACGGCGUGCCUUUUGCAUAAUGAGCCUGCGAGUUACGAUCAGUGGCAAGGUUAAGCCGAUAGGUGUAGCCGAAGCGAAAGCGAGUCUGAAUAGGGCGAUUCAGUCGCUGGUCGUAGACCCGAAACCGUGCGAUCUAUCCAUGACCAGGUUGAAGCGCGAGUAAAAUCGCGUGGAGGACCGAACCCACCACGGUUGAAAACUUGGGGGAUGAGUUGUGGAUAGGGGUGAAAGGCCAAUCAAGCUCGGAAAUAGCUGGUUCUCUUCGAAAUAUAUUUAGGUAUAGCCUCGUGUAUCUCUGCCGGAGGUAGAGCACUGGAUGGGUUAGGGGCCUCACCAGGUUACCGACCCCAACCAAACUCCGAAUGCCGGUAAGAGUAAUCACGGGAGUCAGACUGCGGGAGAUAACUUUCGUAGUCGAGAGGGAAACAACCCAGACCGCCAGUUAAGGCCCCUAAUUCCAUGCUAAGUGGGAAAGGAUGUAGGAGCGCACAGACAACCAGGAGGUUGGCUUAGAAGCAGCCACCCUUUAAAGAAAGCGUAAUAGCUCACUGGUCUAGUGAACCCGCGCCGAAAAUGUACCGGGGCUCAAGCAUGGAGCCGAAACUGCGGAUUGUCAGACUUAGGUUUGGCAGUGGUAGGAGAGUAUUCCAACGACGCUGAAGCGUGACCGUAAGGACGCGUGGAGUUUUUGGAAGAGCUUAUGCAGGCAUGAGUAGCGAUAAAACGGGUGAGAAACCCGUUCGCCGUAAACCCCAGGUUUCCUGGGCCAGGUUAAUCCUCCCAGGGUUAGUCGGAUCCUAAGCCGAGGCCGAAAGGCGUAGGUGAUGGUAAGCAGGUUAAUAUUCCUGUACCGGCAAGUCAUCGGCGAAACUAGAAGGGACGGAGAAGGAUAGGUCGGCCACCGGGUGGUCGUGCUGGUUCAAGCGUGUAGGUGGUCAGCUCAGGACGCGUAGGCGACAAACGGGCAGGCAACACCGAGGCGUGAUGAGGAGGCGAAUCCUUGAGAUUCGCCGUAACCGACUAAUUCCAUGCUUCCAAGAAAAGCUUCGAGUGGAGAUGAUUUGCUGUCCGUACCGCAAACCAACACAGGUGGGUGGGGAGAGUAUCCCAAGGCGCUUGAGAGAACUCUGGUUAAGGAACUCGGCAAAUUGACACCGUAACUUCGGGAGAAGGUGUGCCCUCAUUACGUGUACGGACUUGCUCCGGAAGCGGAAGGGGGUUGCAGAGAAACGGCGGUAGCGACUGUUUACUAAAAACACAGGACUCUGCGAAAUCGUAAGAUGAUGUAUAGGGUCUGACGCCUGCCCGGUGCCGGAAGGUUAAGAGGAGUGGUUAGACUUCGGUCGAGGCUGCGAAUUGAAGCCCCGGUAAACGGCGGCCGUAACUAUAACGGUCCUAAGGUAGCGAAAUUCCUUGUCGGGUAAGUUCCGACCUGCACGAAUGGCGUAACGACUUCCGCACUGUCUCAACCAGGGACUCAGCGAAAUUGAAUUCUCGGUGAAGAUGCCGAGUACCCGCAGCAAGACGGAAAGACCCCGUGAACCUUCACUAUAGCUUAACACUGAAUUUUGGGCCAUUCUGUGUAGAAUAGGUGGGAGACUUUGACGCGUGGACGCCAGUUUGCGCUGAGUCACCGGUGAAAUACCACCCUGGCUGGUCUGGAAUUCUAACCGUAGCCCGUUAUCCGGGUUCGGGACACUGUUUGGUGGGUAGUUUGACUGGGGCGGUCGCCUCCUAAAAAGUAACGGAGGCGCACGAAGGUUCCCUCAGCCUGAUUGGAAACCAGGCGUAGAGUGCAAAGGCAUAAGGGAGCUUGACUGCGAGAUCGACAGAUCGAGCAGGUACGAAAGUAGGUCUUAGUGAUCCGGUGGUUCUGUGUGGAAGGGCCAUCGCUCAACGGAUAAAAGGUACUCCGGGGAUAACAGGCUUAUCUCCCCCAAGAGUUCACAUCGACGGGGAGGUUUGGCACCUCGAUGUCGGCUCAUCGCAUCCUGGGGCUGGAGCAGGUCCCAAGGGUUUGGCUGUUCGCCAAUUAAAGCGGUACGCGAGCUGGGUUUAGAACGUCGUGAGACAGUUCGGUCCCUAUCUGCUGUGGGCGCAGGAAGUUUGAGAGGAUCUGUCCUUAGUACGAGAGGACCGGGAUGGACGUAUCACUGGUGUUCCGGUUGUCGCGCCAGCGGCAUCGCCGGGUAGCCACAUACGGAAGGGAUAACCGCUGAAAGCAUCUAAGCGGGAAGCCCACCUCGAGAUUAUACUUCCCUGGACUUCGGUCCCUGAAGACCCCUUGAAGACUACGAGGUAGAUAGGCUGGGUGUGGACGCGUGGCAACACGUGGAGCUAACCAGUACUAAUGGGUCGUGAGGCUUGUCCUCUCCUUUUCU